AUGCUCACUUUAGCAGCAUAUAUCCUACAGUGGCAAUAAUACAGAGAAGAUUAGUAUGGUCCUUGCACAUGAAUGACACACACAUUCUUGAGGCAUUCCAUACUUUA
RNAcentral lists this small nuclear RNA (107 nucleotides) under Microtus ochrogaster (prairie vole). Lineage: Eukaryota; Metazoa; Chordata; Mammalia; Rodentia; Cricetidae. The record is from RNAcentral.